This is a long non-coding RNA of Oreochromis niloticus (Nile tilapia), 190 nucleotides long. RefSeq lists it as uncharacterized. The transcript has 3 exons. NCBI's taxonomy places the organism in Eukaryota, Metazoa, Chordata, Actinopteri, Cichliformes, Cichlidae. The record is from RefSeq and is a predicted model, not a curated record.
UUCUUAACCUCCACGGUGAAGACUAAAGCUACUGGCUGACUCAGAAAAGAGAGAAGACCAUCUACAGAAGAGGCACCAUGAAGCUGCUGCUUGUGUCUGUACUUCUUUGUGCAGUGAUGGUUUUGACCCCUGCUGCUUUUCUUACAGAUAAAGUUGACAGCAGUGGUGCAGGGGAUUUAAUUCCAACAGG